GAUCCACUGGUCUAGAGGUUACGACGUCUCGUUCACACCGAGAAGGUCCCGAGUUCGAACCUCGGGUGGAUCA
Molecule: non-coding RNA, 73 nt
Organism: Ascoidea rubescens DSM 1968
Lineage: Eukaryota; Fungi; Ascomycota; Saccharomycetes; Ascoideales; Ascoideaceae
Source: the annotation of a RefSeq genome assembly